Molecule: ribosomal RNA, 1892 nt
Filed under: human gut metagenome
Description: bacterial LSU rRNA
Rfam family: Bacterial large subunit ribosomal RNA
Source: RNAcentral
CCAAAUGCCGUGCUAAGUGGCGAAGGAUGUGGCGUUUCAUAAACAACCAGGAUGUUGGCUCAGAAGCAGCCACCAUUUAAAGAGUGCGUAAUAGCUCACUGGUCGAGAGACGCUGCGCCGAAAAUGUCCGGGGCUCAAGCACGGAACCGAAGCUAUGGCAUGACAGCGAUGUCAUGGGUAGGGGAGCGUUCUUAUAAGGAAGAAGCAUUACCGUAAGGAGAUGUGGACAUAUAAGAAGUGAGAAUGCCGGUAUGAGUAUCGAAAAGAAAGGUGAGAAUCCUUUCCACCGAAAGCCCGAGGGUUCCUGAGCAACGAUCGUCGACUCAGGGUAAGUCGGGACCUAAGCCGAGGCGGAGACGCAUAGGCGAUGGACAACAGGUUGAAAUUCCUGUACCGGAUGGAGUCAUUUGAGCAAAGGAGCGACGCAGGAGGGCACAUGAUCGCGCGGCUGGAAGAGCGCGUCCAAGUGCGUAUGCGUAGAGGGAGGCAAAUCCCCCUUUACAGAAGCAGAGACAUGAUGGGGAGUUAAAGGAGACUUUGACGAACUCAUGGAUCCCACACUGCCAAGAAAAACUUCUAGCGAGACGAAAUCCGCCCGUACCGUAAACCGACACAGGUAGGCGGGGAGAGAAUCCUAAGGUGCGCGGGAAAACCCUCGUUAAGGAACUCGGCAAAUUGCAUCCGUAACUUCGGGAGAAGGAUGACCCUGAGUAGGCGAAAGGGAGAAACCCCCGGAACAGAAAAGGGUGGCAGAAAAGAGGCCCAAGCAACUGUUUACCAAAAACACAGGUGCCUGCGAAAGCGAAAGCUGAAGUAUAGGUGCUGACGCCUGCCCGGUGCUGGAAGGUUAAGGAGAGAGGUCAGCGAAAGCGAAGCUUUGAACUGAAGCCCCAGUGAACGGCGGCCGUAACUAUAACGGUCCUAAGGUAGCGAAAUUCCUUGUCGGGUAAGUUCCGACCCGCAUGAAAGGCGUAAUGAUUUGGGCACUGUCUCAACGAGGGGCCCGGUGAAAUUGAAAUACCUGUGAAGAUGCAGGUUACCCGCGACUGGACAGAAAGACCCCAUGGAGCUUCACUGCAGCUUGAGAUUGAAUCCCGGUGACAUAUGCACAGGAUAGGUGGGAGGCUAAGAAGUAAUGCCUUUGGGUGUUACAGAGCCGAUGUUGGGAUACCACCCUUAUGUUGCUGAGAUUCUAACACGGAGACUAACAACCUCGUGGACCAUCUCAGGCAGGCGGUUUGACUGGGGCGGUCGCCUCCUAAAAUGUAACGGAGGCGCCCAAAGGUUCCCUCAGGCCGGACAGAAACCGGCCGAAGAGUGCAAAGGCAGAAGGGAGCUUGACUGCGAGACAGACAAGUCGAGCAGAGACGAAAGUCGGGCUUAGUGAUCCGGUGGUACUGAGUGGAAAGGCCAUCGCUCAACGGAUAAAAGCUACCCUGGGGAUAACAGGCUAAUCUCUCCCAAGAGUUCAUAUCGACGGGGAGGUUUGGCACCUCGAUGUCGGCUCAUCACAUCCUGGAGCUGGAGUAGGUUCCAAGGGUUGGGCUGUUCGCCCAUUAAAGUGGUACGCGAGCUGGGUUCAAAACGUCGUGAGACAGUUUGGUUCAUAUCCAUCGCGGGCGCAAGAAGUUUGAGGGAGGCUGCUCCUAGUACGAGAGGACCGGAGUGGACGGAUCAACGGUGUACCAGUUGUCACGCCAGUGGCACGGCUGGAAAGCCGCAUCCGGAAAGGAUAAACGCUGAAAGCAUCUAAGCGUGAAGCCCGUCCCGAGAUGAGACUUCUCAUCAGCAAUGAGUAAGACCCCUUAAAGACGAUGAGGUUGAUAGGCUGUGAGUGGAAGUGGCGCAAGUCAUGGAGCGACGCAGUACUAAUAGGUCGAGGUCUUAGCUUA